This 64-nucleotide transfer RNA is filed under the name Papilio nephelus. RNAcentral's name for it is "tRNA-His". Lineage: Eukaryota; Metazoa; Arthropoda; Insecta; Lepidoptera; Papilionidae. The record is from RNAcentral.
AUUUAAAUAAUUUAAAAAAAAUAUUGAUUUGUGGAGUCAAAAAUAUGAAGAUUCAUUUUAAAUC